AGCUUUGUGCAGUGGCAGUGUUGUAGUCAAUGAGGUUUAUCUGAGGCACAAUUUUUGCUAAUUAAAAGAAGUUGUCAGCUCUGAAAAAUGGGAAAUGGACAAAAGUAAAGAUUAAUAACUCUAUCAUCCUUUUAAAAAAG
Molecule: small nuclear RNA, 140 nt
Filed under: Monodelphis domestica (gray short-tailed opossum)
Lineage: Eukaryota; Metazoa; Chordata; Mammalia; Didelphimorphia; Didelphidae
Description: U4 spliceosomal RNA (ENSMODG00000026509.1)
Rfam family: U4 spliceosomal RNA (bases 1-69)
Source: RNAcentral